AGUUUGAAUCCUGGCUCAGAACGAACGCUGGCGGCAUGCCUAAUACAUGCAAGUCGAACGAGAUCUUCGGAUCUAGUGGCGCACGGGUGCGUAACGCGUGGGAAUCUGCCCUUGGGUUCGGAAUAACUUCUGGAAACGGAAGCUAAUACCGGAUGAUGACGUAAGUCCAAAGAUUUAUCGCCCAAGGAUGAGCCCGCGUAGGAUUAGCUAGUUGGUGGGGUAAAGGCUCACCAAGGCGACGAUCCUUAGCUGGUCUGAGAGGAUGAUCAGCCACACUGGGACUGAGACACGGCCCAGACUCCUACGGGAGGCAGCAGUAGGGAAUAUUGGACAAUGGGCGAAAGCCUGAUCCAGCAAUGCCGCGUGAGUGAUGAAGGCCUUAGGGUUGUAAAGCUCUUUUACCCGGGAUGAUAAUGACAGUACCGGGAGAAUAAGCUCCGGCUAACUCCGUGCCAGCAGCCGCGGUAAUACGGAGGGAGCUAGCGUUGUUCGGAAUUACUGGGCGUAAAGCGCACGUAGGCGGCUAUUCAAGUCAGAGGUGAAAGCCCGGGGCUCAACCCCGGAACUGCCUUUGAAACUAGAUAGCUUGAAUCCAGGAGAGGUGAGUGGAAUUCCGAGUGUAGAGGUGAAAUUCGUAGAUAUUCGGAAGAACACCAGUGGCGAAGGCGGCUCACUGGACUGGUAUGACGCUGAGGUGCGA
Molecule: ribosomal RNA, 700 nt
Filed under: uncultured Sphingobium sp.
Lineage: Bacteria; Pseudomonadati; Pseudomonadota; Alphaproteobacteria; Sphingomonadales; Sphingobiaceae
Description: bacterial SSU rRNA
Rfam family: Bacterial small subunit ribosomal RNA
Source: RNAcentral